RNAcentral lists this ribosomal RNA (1491 nucleotides) under uncultured bacterium. RNAcentral describes it as "bacterial SSU rRNA". It matches the Rfam family "Bacterial small subunit ribosomal RNA". The record is from RNAcentral.
AGUUUGAUCCUGGCUCAGAUUGAACGCUGGCGGCAUGCCUUACACAUGCAAGUCGAACGGCAGCGCGUCCUUCGGGAUGGCGGCGAGUGGCGAACGGGUGAGUAAAGCAUCGGAACGUGCCCGGUAGUGCGGGAUAGCUCGGCGAAAGCCGGAUUAAUACCGCAUGAGAUCCGUGGAUGAAAGCAGGGGACCCCUUGUGGGCCUUGCGCUACUGGAGCGGCCGAAGUCAGAUUAGGUAGUUGGUGGGGUAAAGGCCCACCAAGCCUGCGAUCUGUAGCUGGUCUGAGAGGAUGAUCAGCCACAUCGGGACUGAGACACGGCCCGAACUCCUACGGGAGGCAGCAGUGGGGAAUUUUGGACAAUGGGCGCAAGCCUGAUCCAGCCAUGCCGCGUGCAGGAUGAAGGCCCUCGGGUUGUAAACCGCCUUUGUACGGAACGAAAAGCCUCUUUCUAAUAAAGAGGGGUGAUGACGGUACCGUAAGAAUAAGCACCGGCUAACUACGUGCCAGCAGCCGCGGUAAUACGUAGGGUGCGAGCGUUAAUCGGAAUUACUGGGCGUAAAGCGUGCGCAGGCGGUCUUGCAAGACAGUGGUGAAAUCCCCGGGCUCAACCUGGGAACUGCCAUUGUGACUGCAAGGCUGGAGUACGGCAGAGGGGGAUGGAAUUCCGCGUGUAGCAGUGAAAUGCGUAGAUAUGCGGAGGAACACCGAUGGCGAGGGCAGUCCCCUGGGCCUGUACUGACGCUCAUGCACGAAAGCGUGGGAGCAAACAGGAUUAGAUACCCUGGUAGUCCACGCCCUAAACGAUGUCAACUGGUUGUUGGGGAUUUAUUUCUUCAGUAACGAAGCUAACGCGUGAAGUUGACCGCCUGGGGAGUACGGCCGCAAGGUUAAAACUCAAAGGAAUUGACGGGGACCCGCACAAGCGGUGGAUGAUGUGGUUUAAUUCGAUGCAACGCGAAAAACCUUACCCACCUUUGACAUGUACGGAAUCCUGCAGAGAUGCGGGAGUGCUCGCAAGAGAGCCGUAACACAGGUGCUGCAUGGCUGUCGUCAGCUCGUGUCGUGAGAUGUUGGGUUAAGUCCCGCAACGAGCGCAACCCUUGCCAUCAGGUAAUGCUGGGAACUCUAAGGAGACUGCCUACGCAAGUAGUGAGGAAGGUGGGGAUGACGUCAAGUCCUCAUGGCCCUUACGCCCAGGGCUACACACGUGCUACAAUGGCGACUACAGAGGGACGCAAUGCCGCGAGGUGGAGCAAAUCCCAAAAAAGUCGUCUCAGUCCGGAUCGAAGUCUGCAACUCGACUUCGUGAAGCUGGAAUUGCUAGUAAUCGUAGAUCAGCAUGCUACGGUGAAUACGUUCCCGGGCCUUGUACGCACCGCCCGUCAAGCCAUGGAAGCUGGGGGCGCCCGAUGUCAGUGAGCUAACCCGCAAGGGAAGCAGCUGCCUAAGGCGAAACCGGUGACUGGGGCUAAGUCGUAACAAGGUAACC